This 86-nucleotide transfer RNA is filed under the name Hymenobacter edaphi. RNAcentral's name for it is "Hymenobacter sp. NL tRNA-Leu". It matches the Rfam family "tRNA". Rfam says of the family: Transfer RNA (tRNA) molecules are approximately 80 nucleotides in length. Their secondary structure includes four short double-helical elements and three loops (D, anti-codon, and T loops). Lineage: Bacteria; Pseudomonadati; Bacteroidota; Cytophagia; Cytophagales; Hymenobacteraceae. The record is from RNAcentral.
GCCAGAGUGGUGUAAUGGUAGCCACGAGGGACUUAAAAUCCCUUUUCCGCAAGGAAGUACGGGUUCGAGUCCCGUCUCUGGUACCA